UAAUAAAAAAUGAGAAUACGUUUGGGCUUCUAUGCCUGAACAUCAGUGCUGUUUAUCACCUGUUAGCACUUUUUGCAUCUCGGCCUCCUUGGUUUUUCCUUUGCGGGUGAGUAGCUACGUAUUACAGACAGUAAGGGGCGCCAUAAGACACAAAAAGGACAUUGUUACCAUUGCAGGAUCCUUAUUCAUUAGUGCACACAGGAGCACAACGUAGGCAAACAAUUUGCACUGGAAAACGAAAACGAGCGUUUCAUAUUGGACAACCUCAGGCAGUCCAUUUUCCUGUGUUUGGUACCUAAAUGAAUAGGCUGUAACCCGACUCAGCUGCUGCAAAGAUGGCGGACAGAAAUACCAGGAUGGAAGCAAAUGGACUCCUGAAACAACCAGCAAACCAGGUUCGUCUUGUGAAACGGUGGAUGUAAAGAAUCUAGCUAGGUAAAGCGUUUACUGCAAAUUGAAUGUACAAUUUUGUAAGCUUGCCUUGUGGAUAACGUAACUAGCUAACUAUGUUCUUGUUUAUUGGGCAGUGGAGGAUCAAAUCCCUGUAUACCUAUGGAUGUGUAGCUAGCUGUCUAGCUGAUCUGUGUAUGGACCCAAACGUUUGGUAUACAUAUUGGUUCAGAACCUAGAUAUGAACUUAAGGUUUCAUAGCCGGUUGUAUCAACUUCAAAACAGUCUGAAUGACAUUUAUGAAGCCUAUGGAUUGAGUAGAAUAUAAUAUAACUUUGUGCCAAGGAUGCAAGUCGUAUAUACAUGUAGCAUGAUAUCCCCACAUUGUAUCCUGUACAUUUAAUAUAUUCACUGAUCAUGUACUCUACCUUAGCAAAUAAAGGUGCGGUUCAGGUAUGAA
This is a long non-coding RNA of Oncorhynchus nerka (sockeye salmon), 850 nucleotides long. RefSeq lists it as uncharacterized. The transcript is spliced from 2 exons. NCBI's taxonomy places the organism in Eukaryota, Metazoa, Chordata, Actinopteri, Salmoniformes, Salmonidae. The record is from RefSeq and is a predicted model, not a curated record.